CACGUAGGGCGCAAGCGUUGUCCGGAAUUAUUGGGCGUAAAGAGCUCGUAGGCGGCUUGUCGCGUCGACUGUGAAAUCCCGCGGCUCAACUGCGGGUCUGCAGUCGAUACGGGCAGGCUAGAGUUCGGUAGGGGGAGACUGGAAUUCCUGGUGUAGCGGUGAAAUGCGCAGAUAUCAGGAGGAACACCGAUGGCGAAGGCAGGUCUCUGGGCCGAUACUGACGCUGAGGAGCGAAAGCGUGGGGAGCGAACAGG
RNAcentral lists this ribosomal RNA (254 nucleotides) under uncultured bacterium. RNAcentral's name for it is "partial 16S ribosomal RNA". It matches the Rfam family "Bacterial small subunit ribosomal RNA", at positions 524 to 776 of the family's 1533-position model. The record is from RNAcentral.